AUCAGGCUAGUUUAAUUAAAAAUAUCAGGAUGUGGGCUUGAAAAUGAGAUUCUUUUCUCGCUUGAUA
This 67-nucleotide transfer RNA is filed under the name Tectus pyramis. RNAcentral describes it as "tRNA-His". The record is from RNAcentral. Lineage: Eukaryota; Metazoa; Mollusca; Gastropoda; Trochida; Tegulidae.